RNAcentral lists this ribosomal RNA (274 nucleotides) under uncultured bacterium. RNAcentral's name for it is "partial 16S ribosomal RNA". It matches the Rfam family "Bacterial small subunit ribosomal RNA", at positions 523 to 796 of the family's 1533-position model. The record is from RNAcentral.
AUACGGAGGGUGCAAGCGUUAAUCGGAAUUACUGGGCGUAAAGGACGCGUAGGCGGGUUGGCAAGUCAGAUGUGAAAUCCUACAGCUUAACUGUAGAACUGCAUUUGAAACUGCUAACCUAGAGUAUGGGAGGGGGAGAUGGAAUUAGUGGUGUAGGGGUAAAAUCCGUAGAUAUCACUAGGAAUACCGAAAGCGAAGGCGAUCUCCUGGAACAUAACUGACGCUAAGGCGUGAAAGCGUGGGGAGCAAACAGGAUUAGAUACCCUAGUAGUCC